This 70-nucleotide transfer RNA is filed under the name Ictidomys tridecemlineatus (thirteen-lined ground squirrel). Its description in RNAcentral is "Spermophilus tridecemlineatus (thirteen-lined ground squirrel) tRNA". It matches the Rfam family "tRNA". From Rfam's summary of the family: Transfer RNA (tRNA) molecules are approximately 80 nucleotides in length. Their secondary structure includes four short double-helical elements and three loops (D, anti-codon, and T loops). The record is from Rfam by way of RNAcentral. Lineage: Eukaryota; Metazoa; Chordata; Mammalia; Rodentia; Sciuridae.
GGGGAUAUAGCUCAGUUGGUAGAGUGCUUGCCUAGCAUGCAUAAGGCCCUGGGUUCAAUCCCCGGCCCCA